This 287-nucleotide unclassified non-coding RNA is filed under the name Hevea brasiliensis (rubber tree). Lineage: Eukaryota; Viridiplantae; Streptophyta; Magnoliopsida; Malpighiales; Euphorbiaceae. The record is from RNAcentral.
GUUAGCAUCAGUAAGGACCCUAAGAUGUUUCCUUCUCCCGUCUCUUCCCAAAAGCAAGCUCACACCUUAAGUUAAUCCACACAACCCAACAACAUUAACCAUAAAACAACAACUCCAUAAGAUCCCUGCAUAAAACAGCCAUAGGGUAAAGGAAUUAAAAAUAGAACCAGCAGAGCUACUGAAACCACCACAAUAAGUCCCCUUUCAAUUUCUAGCUUGCUGCACUCUAAAAGACCUAAAACAUUACUUACAAACCCACCUGAAGCGGAGAAGGAACCCAUGAGAAC